Molecule: non-coding RNA, 21 nt
Filed under: Arabidopsis thaliana (thale cress)
Lineage: Eukaryota; Viridiplantae; Streptophyta; Magnoliopsida; Brassicales; Brassicaceae
Source: RNAcentral
UUCGGAAGAUGGUCAAGGUAC